Molecule: non-coding RNA, 396 nt
Organism: Prunus avium (sweet cherry)
Lineage: Eukaryota; Viridiplantae; Streptophyta; Magnoliopsida; Rosales; Rosaceae
Source: RefSeq, a predicted model, not a curated record
AACAAAACCAAGAAAACCCUCCACUACACUCACAUUCGAAGCCUCUCUCUUCUCUUCUCUACAACUAAAACUCAAACCUAAUCUGAAAAAAAAACCCAAGCGAAGCAGCCGCCAGAUCUCAUUAUUAGCCUCAGCACCUCCAAGUUGUUGACCUCAUCUCUUCCUUCUUCGAAAACCCAGUUGUGCCUCUUGGAUCUUCCUCUUAAUUCGCAGCUGCAAAACCAUGUUUGAGAUACUCAAUGGGGCUUGGAGAAAAUAGCUCAUACCACUUCAAUGAUUCAAUCCCACCCUCUUAGAACUAAGAUUUUGUAUUCAAUCAGAGAGAUGAUUUCUGGAACGAGGCCAUUAAACUUGCUGAUUUGCACCACCUCAAUGUGGUAGCUUCUAUGGUGUUGU